Molecule: long non-coding RNA, 443 nt
Organism: Melitaea cinxia (Glanville fritillary)
Lineage: Eukaryota; Metazoa; Arthropoda; Insecta; Lepidoptera; Nymphalidae
Exons: 2
Source: RefSeq, a predicted model, not a curated record
AUAUCAAAAUAUUUGUUGUUACUUCUAUCAUGUUUAUACAAGCCGUCGGUAUCGACGUCGAGAAGUGUCUGCCAAGACUACAAUGUUAGCGGCACGGGUCGACGGCCGAAAUCGGCGCGGGCGCGACCUUGCUGCACAGACUCACCUACAUACGGCGCCCACUUUUGCUUUCGACUCGCAAAAAAUUUAAGCGGAUCGUCCUGUCGGAUAUACGCAACAAUAAUAAUGCAUCUCGUUCUAAAAUUUAUAGAUUUUUAUCUACGCACCUUGAUUUAUUUUAGAUUAAUUUGGAGCUAUUGAUUGCUUUUGGUGUUAAAAGUUUUUCUUUAAUUUUAGUUAGUAAUUUCAAUGACGCACCAAAUUUUCCAUUAAGACCAUUAAAAGAUUGAACUCAAAGGGUAUACAGAAUUGUCUGUUCUACAAAAAUAUACUUUAGUUUCUAA